GACGAACGCUGGCGGCGUGCUUAACACAUGCAAGUCGAGCGGUAAGGCCCUUUCGGGGGUACACGAGCGGCGAACGGGUGAGUAACACGUGGGUGACCUGCCCUCAGCUCUGGGAUAAGCCCGGGAAACUGGGUCUAAUACCGGAUAUGACUUCAUGACGCAUGUUGUGGAGUGGAAAGCCUUGUGCGGCUGAGGAUGGGCCCGCGGCCUAUCAGCUUGUUGGUGGGGUGAUGGCCUACCAAGGCGACGACGGGUAGCCGGCCUGAGAGGGCGACCGGGCCACACUGGGACUGAGAUACGGCCCAGACUCCUACGGGAGGCAGCAGUGGGGAAUCUUGCGCAAUGGGCGAAAGCCUGACGCAGCGACGCCGCGUGA
Molecule: ribosomal RNA, 376 nt
Filed under: uncultured bacterium
Lineage: Bacteria
Description: bacterial SSU rRNA
Rfam family: Bacterial small subunit ribosomal RNA
Source: RNAcentral